AUGAACCGGAAGCCGGGU
This 18-nucleotide small nuclear RNA is filed under the name Arabidopsis thaliana (thale cress). RNAcentral's name for it is "snRNA_11652". Lineage: Eukaryota; Viridiplantae; Streptophyta; Magnoliopsida; Brassicales; Brassicaceae. The record is from RNAcentral.